UCGGGAAUUUUGGGCAAUGGGCGCAAGCCUGACCCAGCAACGCCGCGUGAAGGAUGAAGUUUUUCGGAAUGUAAACUUCACAAGAAUGGGAAGAAUAAGUUUUGGCUAAUAUCCAAGACGAUGACGGUACCAUUUGUAAGCUCCGGCUAACUCCGUGCCAGCAGCCGCGGUAAUACGGGGGGAGCAAGCGUUGUUCGGAUUUACUGGGCGUAAAGGGCGCGUAGGCGGCGCCGCAAGUCACUUGUGAAAUCUCCGGGCUCAACUCGGAACGGCCAAGUGAUACUGCGGUGCUAGAGUGCGGAAGGGGCAACUGGAAUUCUUGGUGUAGCGGUGAAAUGCGUAGAUAUCAAGAGGAACACCUGCGGCGAAGGCGGGUUGCUGGGCCGACACUGACGCUGAGGCGCGAAAGCUAGGGGAGCGAACGG
This 425-nucleotide ribosomal RNA is filed under the name uncultured bacterium. RNAcentral's name for it is "bacterial SSU rRNA". It matches the Rfam family "Bacterial small subunit ribosomal RNA", at positions 355 to 775 of the family's 1533-position model. The record is from RNAcentral.